UGUUCCUCGAAGAAUUCUGAGUAGUUCAGAGGUUUCAAAUUCACACAUGCAUAGGAAAAUAUUACUUUCUCAGCAGCAAUCUCAACAUGCAUUCCCAGCUUUUCUGCAAUAUGUGCUACCUCAAAAGGAAAAUGAUGCUUUGUCAUCAGGAAUCUCUAACAAAUAUUCGGAGCUUUUGUACAAUAUGUGCCCCCUCAGAAGGCUCCCAGUGAGGAACAAUUUACUGUUGUGAGGCUGUUCAGGCAGACAUGAAUCUAAUCUGCAAUUGAGAAUCACUUCACCCUUUCUCAUCAUUAUGGUUCCUCUUAAGUUGCAUGCUUUCCAGAAUAUCAAGUUUCACUUCCUCUGCAUGCUAGUGCGUAGACGAAGGCAUGGUAGAUGAAGAUAUUUUGGAUCCCUUUAUCAGCUCAUCAAAGUCGUUGCCUAAAUUAAUAGGCGAGGAAUCAACCUCCGUAACUUGUUGCACAUCAAUAUCUCCGAGUUGCUUAAUCCAGUCCCUGGUGGCGAUAUGUUUUCUAAUCACUAGAGCCAACUCAUU
Molecule: long non-coding RNA, 538 nt
Organism: Eucalyptus grandis
Lineage: Eukaryota; Viridiplantae; Streptophyta; Magnoliopsida; Myrtales; Myrtaceae
Exons: 6
Source: RefSeq, a predicted model, not a curated record